Molecule: transfer RNA, 72 nt
Filed under: Apaloderma vittatum (bar-tailed trogon)
Lineage: Eukaryota; Metazoa; Chordata; Aves; Trogoniformes; Trogonidae
Rfam family: tRNA
About the family: Transfer RNA (tRNA) molecules are approximately 80 nucleotides in length. Their secondary structure includes four short double-helical elements and three loops (D, anti-codon, and T loops).
Source: Rfam by way of RNAcentral
GGCUGGUUAGCUCAGUCACUGGAGCGUGGCGCUUACAACGCCAAGGUCAUGGGUUCAGUUCCCGUUUGGUCU